Molecule: ribosomal RNA, 1499 nt
Filed under: uncultured bacterium
Lineage: Bacteria
Description: bacterial SSU rRNA
Rfam family: Bacterial small subunit ribosomal RNA
Source: RNAcentral
AGAGUUUGAUCCUGGCUCAGAUUGAACGCUGGCGGUAUGCUUAACACAUGCAAGUCGAACGGAAACGAUACUAGCUUGCUAGUAGGCGUCGAGUGGCGGACGGGUGAGUAACGCGUAGGAAUCUGCCUGAUAGUGGGGGAUAGCCCGGAGAAAUUCGGAUUAAUACCGCAUAAUCUAUUCGUAGUAAAGUGGGGGACUUUCGAGCCUCACGCUAUCAGAUGAGCCUGCGUAAGAUUAGCUAGUUGGUAGGGUAAAAGCCUACCAAGGCGACGAUCUUUAGCUGGUCUGAGAGGAUGAUCAGCCACAUCGGGACUGAGACACGGCCCGAACUCCUACGGGAGGCAGCAGUGGGGAAUAUUGGACAAUGGGGGCAACCCUGAUCCAGCAAUACCGCGUGUGUGAAGAAGGCCUGAGGGUUGUAAAGCACUUUCAAUUGUGAAGAAAAGUUAGCGGUUAAUAACCGUUAGCCUUGACGUUAACUUUAGAAGAAGCACCGGCUAACUCCGUGCCAGCAGCCGCGGUAAUACGGAGGGUGCAAGCGUUAAUCGGAAUUACUGGGCGUAAAGCGUGCGUAGGCGGUUUAUUAAGUCAGAUGUGAAAGCCCCGGGCUUAACCUGGGAACUGCAUUUGAAACUGGUAAACUAGAGUAUGGUAGAGGAAAGUGGAAUUUCUGGUGUAGCGGUGAAAUGCGUAGAUAUCAGAAGGAACAUCAAUGGCGAAGGCAGCUUUCUGGACCAAUACUGACGCUGAGGUACGAAAGCGUGGGUAGCAAACAGGAUUAGAUACCCUGGUAGUCCACGCCGUAAACGAUGAUAACUAGCCGUUGGGGGGGAUUUACCCUUUAGUGGCGAAGCUAACGCGUUAAGUUAUCCGCCUGGGGAGUACGGCCGCAAGGUUAAAACUCAAAGGAAUUGACGGGGACCCGCACAAGCGGUGGAGCAUGUGGUUUAAUUCGAUGCAACGCGAAGAACCUUACCUGGUCUUGACAUCCUGCGAACUUUCUAGAAAUAGAUUGGUGCCUUCGGGAACGCAGUGACAGGUGCUGCAGGGCUGUCGUCAGCUCGUGUCGUGAGAUGUUGGGUUAAGUCCCGUAACGAGCGCAACCCCUAUCCUUAUUUGCCAGCACAUCAUGGUGGGAACUAUAAGGAGACUGCCGGUGAUAAACCGGAGGAAGGCGGGGACGACGUCAAGUCAUCAUGGCCCUUACGACCAGGGCUACACACGUGCUACAAUGGGAAGGACAAAGAGCCGCGAAGCCGCGAGGUGUAGCUAAUCUCAUAAACCUUUUCGUAGUCCGGAUUGGAGUCUGCAACUCGACUCCAUGAAGUCGGAAUCGCUAGUAAUCGUAGAUCAGAAUGCUACGGUGAAUACGUUCCCGGGUCUUGUACACACCGCCCGUCAUACCAUGGGAGUGGGUUGCACCAGAAGUGGCUAGUCUAACUUAGUGAGGACGGUCACCACGGUGUGAUUCAUGACUGGGGUAAAGUCGUAACAAGGUA